GGUGGCUCAAUGGUAGAGCGCUUGCCUUGCAUGCAAGAGGCCCUGGGUUCGAUUCCUCAGCACCA
Dipodomys ordii (Ord's kangaroo rat) is the source of this 65-nucleotide non-coding RNA. The record is from Rfam. Lineage: Eukaryota; Metazoa; Chordata; Mammalia; Rodentia; Heteromyidae.